RNAcentral lists this ribosomal RNA (497 nucleotides) under uncultured bacterium. RNAcentral describes it as "partial 16S ribosomal RNA". It matches the Rfam family "Bacterial small subunit ribosomal RNA", at positions 28 to 507 of the family's 1533-position model. The record is from RNAcentral.
GAUGAACGCUGGCGGCGUGCCUAAUACAUGCAAGUCGAGCGAACAGACGAGGAGCUUGCUCCUCUGACGUUAGCGGCGGACGGGUGAGUAACACGUGGAUAACCUACCUAUAAGACUGGGAUAACUUCGGGAAACCGGAGCUAAUACCGGAUAAUAUAUUGAACCGCAUGGUUCAAUAGUGAAUGACGGUUUUGCGGUCACUUAUAGAUGGAUCCGCGCCGCAUUAGCUAGUUGGUAAGGUAACGGCUUACCAAGGCAACGAUGCGUAGCCGACCUGAGAGGGUGAUCGGCCACACUGGAACUGAGACACGGUCCAGACUCCUACGGGAGGCAGCAGUAGGGAAUCUUCCGCAAUGGGCGAAAGCCUGACGGAGCAACGCCGCGUGAGUGAUGAAGGUCUUCGGAUCGUAAAACUCUGUUAUUAGGGAAGAACAAAUGUGUAAGUAACUAUGCACGUCUUGACGGUACCUAAUCAGAAAGCCACGGCUAACUACGUG